UACGAAGGGGGCUAGCGUUGCUCGGAAUCACUGGGCGUAAAGCGCACGUAGGCGGUUUUUUAAGUCAGGGGUGAAAUCCUGGAGCUCAACUCCAGAACUGCCUUUGAUACUGGGAAUCUCGAGUCCGGAAGAGGUGAGUGGAACUGCGAGUGUAGAGGUGAAAUUCGUAGAUAUUCGCAAGAACACCAGUGGCGAAGGCGGCUCACUGGUCCGGUACUGACGCUGAGGUGCGAAAGCGUGGGGAGCAAACAGG
This 253-nucleotide ribosomal RNA is filed under the name uncultured bacterium. Its description in RNAcentral is "partial 16S ribosomal RNA". It matches the Rfam family "Bacterial small subunit ribosomal RNA", at positions 524 to 776 of the family's 1533-position model. The record is from RNAcentral.